This 252-nucleotide long non-coding RNA is filed under the name Homo sapiens (human). Its description in RNAcentral is "HSALNT0084452". The record is from RNAcentral. Lineage: Eukaryota; Metazoa; Chordata; Mammalia; Primates; Hominidae.
AUUCCUUAAUUUCAGGAGAACCCAUGAAAGGAGUAUCAUCCAAUCAGGUCAACUCUCUUUGGUUUCCUAAUGUCUAAACAUUUCACAAUUUAUGGAAUUAUGAAAGGAUCCAGCUCCCCAGAGGAUGUGAGCACAUCUGAACACAAUUAUGCACUGCAGCCAGACAACUGUUAGCUUUCUGGGGCAAAAGACACAGAGAAAGACCAGGAUAAUCCUUGUGCGUGCAGCUCAGAUUUGGCCCCUGUCGCCACA